AACUCUGCUCCCCAAAAGGAUUCAUGCCAUCUGUACUCAGACCUAACCAUAAGUUCCUUGCGUCAGCUGCAAAUCUCGGGAACUCUCUCUCGAUUUUUCUCCACUGCCGACCAUCAGCGGUGUGCCUCAACUUAUCGUAUUUCAUACGAUCUUCCAUGUGCCAUCGCAACAACUUCGCAUGAUCUUUAUUUCUGAACAGACGUUUCAACCGUGGUAUUAUAGGAGCAUACCACAUCACCUUGGCAGGAACCCUCUUCCUGGGUGGCUCGCCCUCAA
RNAcentral lists this long non-coding RNA (276 nucleotides) under Hordeum vulgare. RNAcentral describes it as "long non-coding RNA (HVUL_LNC020555)". The record is from RNAcentral. Lineage: Eukaryota; Viridiplantae; Streptophyta; Magnoliopsida; Poales; Poaceae.